Molecule: long non-coding RNA, 433 nt
Filed under: Homo sapiens (human)
Lineage: Eukaryota; Metazoa; Chordata; Mammalia; Primates; Hominidae
Description: non-protein coding lnc-THBS1-7:2
Source: RNAcentral
AAUCACACUUAUUUCCAGGAAAGAGUUAGCAGUAUUGAUAUAGUCCAGGGACUCCUAGAAACACCUGUUGUGUUGCUUUGGUGAGCAGAUGCUGUUCAUCUUCCAUGGCACCUGUAUUUUAUCUGCAUGGAGAUGAGCUCAGCCAGAGUACUUCUCAGAGAGGAUACCACGUGGAUGCAAAUAAGAGCAGAGAAAGCACCGAGUAGUUACAAUGGUCCUUGCUGGGUGUUUGGAGAAGCUAAUUAUUUGAGAGAGAAACAAGCCUAGGAAAGACUUUUGGGAUUAGGUGAAAAGUGUACCCUUGCAGGGAGCAAGAAGCCAUGCCAUGCCCAGGCUUUCGAUCGCUCCACCACAGGAUAUCAUUGUCCACAGGCCCUAACUUUAGUUCUUGAUUUUUCCAACCUCUCUUUAAAGUUUAUUCUUAUUUUCCAAA